This 85-nucleotide transfer RNA is filed under the name Pseudomonadota bacterium. Its description in RNAcentral is "Proteobacteria bacterium tRNA-Leu". It matches the Rfam family "tRNA". Rfam says of the family: Transfer RNA (tRNA) molecules are approximately 80 nucleotides in length. Their secondary structure includes four short double-helical elements and three loops (D, anti-codon, and T loops). Further hydrogen bonds mediate the characteristic L-shaped molecular structure. tRNAs have two regions of fundamental functional importance: the anti-codon, which is responsible for specific mRNA codon recognition, and the 3' end, to which the tRNAs corresponding amino acid is attached (by aminoacyl-tRNA synthetases). tRNAs cope with the degeneracy of the genetic code in two manners: having more than one tRNA (with a specific anti-codon) for a particular amino acid; and 'wobble' base-pairing, i.e. permitting non-standard base-pairing at the 3rd anti-codon position. The record is from RNAcentral. Lineage: Bacteria; Pseudomonadati; Pseudomonadota.
GGGAACGUGGUGGAAUUGGUAGACACGCUGGAUUUAGGAUCCAGUGCCUAGCGGCGUGGGAGUUCAACUCUCCCCGUUCCCACCA